CAGUCGAACGAAGCUGCUUAACAGAUUUCCUUCGGGAUCGAUGUUUUGUACACUUAGUGGCGGACGGGUGAGUAACGCGUGGGUAACCUGCCCUGUACAGGGGGAUAACAGUUAGAAAUGACUGCUAAUACCGCAUAAGACCACAGCACCGCAUGGUGCAGGGGUAAAAACUCCGGUGGUACAGGAUGGACCCGCGUCUGAUUAGCUGGUUGGUGAGGUAACGGCUCACCAAGGCGACGAUCAGUAGCCGGCUUGAGAGAGCGGACGGCCACAUUGGGACUGAGACACGGCCCAAACUCCUACGGGAGGCAGCAGUGGGGAAUAUUGCACAAUGGGGGGAACCCUGAUGCAGCGACGCCGCGUGAGUGAAGAAGUAUUUCGGUAUGUAAAGCUCUAUCAGCAGGGAAGAAAAUGACGGUACCUGACUAAGAAGCCCCGGCUAACUACGUGCCAGCAGCCGCGGUAAUACGUAGGGGGCAAGCGUUAUCCGGAAUUACUGGGUGUAAAGGGUGCGUAGGUGGUAUGGCAAGUCAGAAGUGAAAACCCAGGGCUUAACUCUGGGACUGCUUUUGAAACUGUCAGACUGGAGUGCAGGAGAGGUAAGCGGAAUUCCUAGUGUAGCGGUGAAAUGCGUAGAUAUUAGGAGGAACAUCAGUGGCGAAGGCGGCUUACUGGACUGAAACUGACACUGAGGCACGAAAGCGUGGGGAGC
Molecule: ribosomal RNA, 712 nt
Filed under: uncultured bacterium
Lineage: Bacteria
Description: bacterial SSU rRNA
Rfam family: Bacterial small subunit ribosomal RNA
Source: RNAcentral